UUCAUAUCGACUCAGCUCCAGCCAUUGUGUCCACAUGACUAUUUAAUGGACAUAGGAAAGCCUGCCGAAACACAGAGAAGACUGCGCGUGGUUUAUAACGUGGCAUGUCUCCCUGGAGGAAAAGCCUGGGAAAGUCCCUGAAUUGGUGAGGUACUGAAUUGCGAGCAAGAUGGCAAAACCACUUGAUCCUAUGACUGCCAUAUCAAAUCUCGACAUCAGGUUAAAGCAGCUCAUUCUAGAAGAAGCUAGAAUAGAGGAGAAAUUGAAGGCCAUCGAACAACAGGAGAUAGCACAUAGAGCACGCGUGAAACAAUUAUGUAAGUUCUGUAGCUCCUCCCAACAGAGUGAUGAAUCAUUAUGUUAUCAUUCUGGGUCAUGAAAUGUUUUCCACGUGUAAUGCU
Ochotona curzoniae (black-lipped pika) is the source of this 401-nucleotide long non-coding RNA. RefSeq lists it as uncharacterized. The record is from RefSeq and is a predicted model, not a curated record. The transcript has 3 exons. NCBI's taxonomy places the organism in Eukaryota, Metazoa, Chordata, Mammalia, Lagomorpha, Ochotonidae.